GAAAUGCGAUAAGUAGUGUGAAUUGCAGAAUUCAGUGAAUCAUCGAAUCUUUGAACGCACAUUGCGCCCCUUGGUAUUCCAUGGGGCAUGCCUGUUCGAGCGUCAUUUGUACCCUCAAGCUCUGCUUGGUGUUGGGUGUUUGUCCCGUCUCCGCGCGUGGACUCGCCCCAAAGUGAUUGGCAGCCGGCGUACUGGUCCCGGAGCGCAGCACAUGUCGCGCAAACGAGUGCCUUGGUACGGCGGCGUCCAUAAGCCCCUCUCUCACGCUCUUGACCUCGGAUCAGGUAGGGAUACGCGCUGAAGUUAAGC
RNAcentral lists this unclassified non-coding RNA (309 nucleotides) under plant metagenome. RNAcentral describes it as "partial contains 5.8S ribosomal RNA, internal transcribed spacer 2, and large subunit ribosomal RNA". The stretch from base 1 to 105 matches the Rfam family "5.8S ribosomal RNA", at positions 50 to 154 of the family's 154-position model. The record is from RNAcentral.